CGCGUGAGUAACCUGCCAUACACAAGGGGAUAGCCUUUGGAAACGAAGAAUAAUACCCUAUAAAACCAUAAAAGCACAUGCUAGAAUGGUCAAAGUGAUAGCGGUGUAAGAUGGACUUGCGUCUGAUUAGCUAGUUGGUGAGAUAAAAGCUCACCAAGGCAACGAUCAGUAGCCGGCUUGAGAGAGUGUACGGCCACAUUGGGACUGAGACACGGCCCAG
This 220-nucleotide ribosomal RNA is filed under the name uncultured Eubacteriales bacterium. RNAcentral's name for it is "uncultured Clostridiales bacterium partial 16S ribosomal RNA". It matches the Rfam family "Bacterial small subunit ribosomal RNA", at positions 114 to 334 of the family's 1533-position model. The record is from RNAcentral. Lineage: Bacteria; Bacillati; Bacillota; Clostridia; Eubacteriales.